This 544-nucleotide ribosomal RNA is filed under the name uncultured bacterium. RNAcentral's name for it is "bacterial SSU rRNA". It matches the Rfam family "Bacterial small subunit ribosomal RNA", at positions 777 to 1320 of the family's 1533-position model. The record is from RNAcentral.
AAUAGAUACCCGGGUAGUCCACGCCGUAAACGAUGAGUGCUAAGUGUUAGGGGGUUUCCGCCCCUUAGUGCUGCAGCUAACGCAUUAAGCACUCCGCCUGGGGAGUACGGUCGCAAGACUGAAACUCAAAGGAAUUGACGGGGGCCCGCACAAGCGGUGGAGCAUGUGGUUUAAUUCGAAGCAACGCGAAGAACCUUACCAGGUCUUGACAUCCCAUUGACCACUAUGGAGACAUAGUUUUCCCUUCGGGGACAACGGUGACAGGUGGUGCAUGGUUGUCGUCAGCUCGUGUCGUGAGAUGUUGGGUUAAGUCCCGCAGCGAGCGCAACCCUUGUUCUUAGUUGCCAUCAUUUAGUUGGGCACUCUAAGGAGACUGCCGGUGACAAACCGGAGGAAGGUGGGGAUGACGUCAAAUCAUCAUGCCCCUUAUGACCUGGGCUACACACGUGCUACAAUGGACGGUACAAACGGUUGCCAACCCGCGAGGGGAGCUAAUCCGAUAAAACCGUUCUCAGUUCGGAUUGUAGGCUGCAACUCGCCUACA